RNAcentral lists this transfer RNA (72 nucleotides) under bacterium. Its description in RNAcentral is "tRNA-Gly". It matches the Rfam family "tRNA". From Rfam's summary of the family: Transfer RNA (tRNA) molecules are approximately 80 nucleotides in length. Their secondary structure includes four short double-helical elements and three loops (D, anti-codon, and T loops). The record is from RNAcentral. RNAcentral also lists the same sequence under 1 other name.
GCGGGAGUAGUUCAGCGGUAGAACGUCUCGUUGCCAACGAGAAGAUCGCGGGUUCGAUCCCCGUCUCCCGCU